Molecule: ribosomal RNA, 326 nt
Filed under: uncultured eukaryote
Lineage: Eukaryota
Description: partial 18S ribosomal RNA
Rfam family: Eukaryotic small subunit ribosomal RNA
Source: RNAcentral
CCCUUAGAUGUUCUGGGCCGCACGCGCGCUACACUGAUGCAUUCAACAAGCCUAGCCUUGACCGAGAGGUCCGGGUAAUCUUUGAAACUACAUCGUGAUGGGGCUAGAUUAUUGCAAUUAUUAAUCUUCAACGAGGAAUGCCUAGUAAGCGUGAUUCAUCAAAUCGCGUUGAUUACGUCCCUGCCCUUUGUACACACCGCCCGUCGCUCCUACCGAUUGAAUGUGUUGGUGAGGAGCUCGGAUUGGCAGCAGUUGGUGGUUCGCCACCGGCUAUUGCUGAGAAGUCCUCCAAACCGCCCCAUUUAGAGGAAGGAGAAGUCGUAACA